ACUCGCGCUUGGCUCUCCUCAACCACGGAAUUGGGCUUCGCCUGCCAGGACUGCGUGUCCCUCUUUGCACACCCGUGGCCUGGCUUUGCAUGCUUUCUUCUGAGGGACACACCAAGCUUCCAGCUGCCUCGCCCCGGACCCCCAGAGCUGAGGCUCCCUCUGCAGUUUGAACCAGCAGUGUGGAUGGGAGGAGCAGCAGAGUGUGUGGCCUCAUGAGAGAUGUGAGAGCUAGGGACACCCCAGUGCCUGGAGGUCGUGUGGAGUCACAUCUCGGGUGUCUCAGGUAGGAGGAACAGCAUGAACAAAAGCAUGGCGAUGGCAUUUAGAAAAGCAUUUGGGAAAGCUGGAGAUUUAGCUCAGUAGCACCUCACCUGCCUGGCAAGCGCAAGGUCCUGAGUUUGAUCCCCGGUACCAAAAAAAAGAAAAGCAUUGGGGGCUGGCAGGUGAGGAGGGCUCGGAUCUUCUGGCAGGGCAGGGAGUGGUGCUGGUGCUGGUGCUGGUUCUGGGUGCAUCGCUCACACGUUUGCCAGAGGAGUCUGAUCUUUGAAGACCAUGAAACCUUUCCUCCCUUGAAAACUUACCCACUGUCCCCCUUGGCAGUGUACUCUGGCCAAAAUAAACUCAUCUCUUCUACGCGCCCCCCAUAAUGAAACCAAAGUUCAGAGAUGAGAGAAAAUACUAUUUCUUGAGCGUCUCCUACAUGCCUGGCCCCGUGGUUUAUACUUCUUUUGCGCUGACAUCUACAUUGGCUCAGAAGAAGGAGUGGCCGGCCCAGGUCCACCGACGGGAGCUGUUCCAGGGUGGGAUGGGCUGUGGGGCCCUGCCAGGCCUUGUGCGGGGGGCUGGUGGGCAGUGGAGUUGGGCGGCUGCGGGGCCUGUGACCCCGCCUAUGGGAGCAGGCUGGAGAGGCUCCUUGCUGUUCCUCCCUGGGGCAGGCAGGCCCUUGUCCUCUGGCAGCGUGGUGAGGGUGGGAGGCCUCGGGCUCAGGCUAUGUGCUCGUGGAGGGUGGACACUGGGAGAGAAGCAGCUACAGAGCCCCUGGCUCCCUCUGCAGGGCCCUGCACCUCC
Molecule: long non-coding RNA, 1068 nt
Filed under: Heterocephalus glaber (naked mole-rat)
Lineage: Eukaryota; Metazoa; Chordata; Mammalia; Rodentia; Bathyergidae
Description: lncRNA (ENSHGLG00000038644.1)
Source: RNAcentral